ACGUAGGGACCAAGCGUUGUUCGGAUUUACUGGGCGUAAAGCGUGCGCAGGCGGUUCGCCAAGUCAGGUGUGAGAUCCCCGGGCUUAACCUGGGAAUUGCGCUUGAAACUAGCGGGCUUGAGUGCGGCAGAGGGGGGUGGAAUUCCACGUGUAGCAGUGAAAUGCGUAGAGAUGUGGAGGAACACCGAUGGCGAAGGCAGCCCCCUGGGUCGACACUGACGCUCAUGCACGAAAGCGUGGGGAGCAAACAGGA
Molecule: ribosomal RNA, 253 nt
Filed under: uncultured prokaryote
Description: partial 16S ribosomal RNA
Rfam family: Bacterial small subunit ribosomal RNA
Source: RNAcentral